Molecule: ribosomal RNA, 463 nt
Filed under: uncultured bacterium
Lineage: Bacteria
Description: bacterial SSU rRNA
Rfam family: Bacterial small subunit ribosomal RNA
Source: RNAcentral
ACUCCUACGGGAGGCAGCAGUGGGGAAUUAUUGCACAAUGGGCGCAAGCCUGAUGCAGCCAUGCCGCGUGUGUGAAGAAGGCCUUCGGGUUGUAAAGCACUUUCAGUUGUGAGGAAGGUAGUGUAGUUAACACCUGCACUAUUUGACGUUACCUACAGAAGAAGCACCGGCUAACUCCGUGCCAGCAGCCGCGGUAAUACGGAGGGUGCGAGCGUUAAUCGGAAAUUACUGGGCGUAAAGCGCAUGCAGGCGGCCUGUUAAGUCAGAUGUGAAAGCCCGGGGCUUAACCUCGGAAUUGCAUUUGAAACUGGCAGGCUAGAGUCUUGUAGAGGGGGGUAGAAGUUUCGGGUGUAGCGGUGAAAUGCGUAGAGAUCUGAAGGAAUACCAGUGGCGAAGGCGGCCCCCUGGACAAAGACUAGACGCUCAGAUGCGAAAGCGUGGGUAGCGAACAGGAUUAGAUACC